Paramuricea clavata is the source of this 388-nucleotide non-coding RNA. The record is from the annotation of a GenBank genome assembly. NCBI's taxonomy places the organism in Eukaryota, Metazoa, Cnidaria, Anthozoa, Malacalcyonacea, Plexauridae.
CCAGUGCAUUUUAGUUUUUCUGAGUUAUGAGCAGAAAUACUCAACACUGAACAUUGGGCUAUAUAUCAAAUUGAAGCUAUUGAAAAACACUAUUUGGUGUAGAAAUUUGAAGACUUUAGCUAAAAGGGAAAUAUUGAAAAACGACAAACAUAAUUACCGAUAAUUUGCCGUUUUGCAGUUGUUUUUGUAUUUUUUAAAUAUUUUUCUUUUCGCUGAAGUCUUGAAAUUUCCACACCGAAUAGCAAUUUUUAAUAGCUUCAAUUUGAUAUAUAGCCCGACGUUUGGGGUCAAGUAUUUCUGCUCAUAACUCAGAAAAACUAUUUUGGCUUCAUCAAAUCAUAGGCCUUCAUCAUAGCAGUUAGCCUUCCAGUUUAUUUAUAGUUCAAUG